RNAcentral lists this long non-coding RNA (784 nucleotides) under Marmota monax (woodchuck). Lineage: Eukaryota; Metazoa; Chordata; Mammalia; Rodentia; Sciuridae. The record is from RNAcentral.
CCUUAGGAAAGCACUUCACACUAAACGGAAUUUACUAAACUUAAAUGAAUUGUCAACUGUUUUUAAAGGCAGCGUUCACACUCUUUCUUCCUCCCCAUCCUUUGUUCUUUCCCUAGCUCUGGUUUGCUCAGAGGCAGUCAUCUCCUUCCGGUUUCCUCCUCUACUUCUCAAGCUGGGCUGUUUCCCAAGGGGCCUGUGAGGAGGGGAGGGCAAUUCCAGAGCAGGAAGGGGGAUUGAGUUUGGAGACACUGAGGGCCCAGCCAAGGGAGCCUCCCUUCCCAUGAACCUUUCCUGGCUGGGUCAGCAGCGCUUCCCACAAGUGAAGCCAGAAUUAGACAGGCAGUCAGUGUAGAUAGGUAAAUCGAGUCAGGUCAGGUCAAGGAGGCCAAUUUUGAGUGAGUCUGGGAAGUUGGAGACUGUCCCCUGAGGGAUCUUAUCAAGAACCUGCCCCUGCACCACCCUGUUGCCAAGGUAACCAGUCCCAGGAAUUUCCCCUCCCAACAGGGAGCUGUAUGGUUGUUACAGUGUCCCGGUCUACUCCACCCUGCCCUUCCCCCUUCAGCCCACCUAUUUCCCACCUUUUGGCCACACCACUGAGCAUUCCUGGGCCUAGUCAUGUACACAGGAAGGAGAAAGAUAAGGGGGGAAAGGCAGGAGAACAAAGGAAGACUAGAACACAUAAAAAGGGCAGAACAUCUUGCCUUUUGGGAUACCAUGAUACCAGCUAUGGCCCCCUUCUCCCUCGAAGGAGAAGUCUAUGUUACCCCUUUUUAAAUAAACCUGC